AAACAAUGAUAUCUGAAGACACAAGAACUAGCAAUGUGGGACACCCUGAAGGAAUUUCCUAUUUUUUAGAUUUUUCACCUCAAAAAUUUAUAUAUAUAUAUGAUCUAGAAUUUCUGCUUGAGGACUUACUGUGAAACCUCACUUCACUUCAAUGCCUUAAUAUUUGGGAUUGUCCAAAAAUAAGAACCUUAUCUUCUGCUUCGCAGCAUCCAGUGGUGAAAAAAUCAUUGGUUUUGAAACAAAAUGAGAUUUAACACUUCAUAUUUCUUCAAGUCUAACUUAUUCCUUCCAUCCAGUUGUGUGGAAAUCUUAUUUCUGGGUUGUUUAUUCAAUCAUUUGAUUGUUAUAUUUGCUUUUACAUGAACAAUUAAAUAUUAAAAAACCCAUAGUUCAGCUUAUCGAAAAAAAAAAACCCAUAGUUUAUCCUUUAACGUUAGUUUCAGGCUGUUUUGCUGAUAUUGUGAAUCUGUGGAUUGAAGCAUUUCCAUGUACUUUUAACUGAGCUAUGGAAUUUCAAAUAAG
This 522-nucleotide unclassified non-coding RNA is filed under the name Hevea brasiliensis (rubber tree). Lineage: Eukaryota; Viridiplantae; Streptophyta; Magnoliopsida; Malpighiales; Euphorbiaceae. The record is from RNAcentral.